Molecule: ribosomal RNA, 253 nt
Filed under: uncultured bacterium
Lineage: Bacteria
Description: partial 16S ribosomal RNA
Rfam family: Bacterial small subunit ribosomal RNA
Source: RNAcentral
UACGGGGGGGGCAAGCGUUGUUCGGAAUUACUGGGCGUAAAGGGCGCGUAGGCGGUUCGAUAAGUCAGCUGUGAAAACCAUGGGCUUAACUCAUGGCCUGCAGUUGAGACUGUCGGGCUGGAGUGUGGGAGAGGAGAGUGGAAUUCCUGGUGUAGCGGUGAAAUGCAUAGAUAUCAGGAGGAACACCGGUGGCGAAGGCGGCUCUCUGGGCCGGUACUGACGCUGAGGAGCGAAAGCAUGGGGAGCGAACAGG